GCACUGGUGGUUCAGUGGUGGAAUGCACACCUUCCACGGGAGAGACCCGGGUUCAAUUCCUGACCAGUACA
Molecule: transfer RNA, 71 nt
Filed under: Loxodonta africana (African savanna elephant)
Lineage: Eukaryota; Metazoa; Chordata; Mammalia; Proboscidea; Elephantidae
Rfam family: tRNA
About the family: Transfer RNA (tRNA) molecules are approximately 80 nucleotides in length.
Source: Rfam by way of RNAcentral